Molecule: ribosomal RNA, 253 nt
Filed under: uncultured bacterium
Lineage: Bacteria
Description: partial 16S ribosomal RNA
Rfam family: Bacterial small subunit ribosomal RNA
Source: RNAcentral
UACGUAGGCAGCAAGCGUUGUUCGGAAUUACUGGGCGUAAAGAGUGUGUAGGCGGUGCUCUAAGUCUGUCGUGAAAUCUCCCGGCUUAACUGGGAGGGUGCGGCGGAAACUGGAAUGCUAGAGGGUGGGAGAGGAAAGCGGAAUUCCUGGUGUAGCGGUGAAAUGCGUAGAGAUCAGGAAGAACACCGGUGGCGAAGGCGCUCUGCUAGGCCGCAACUGACACUGAGGGACGAAAGCUAGGGGAGCGAAUGGG